This 466-nucleotide ribosomal RNA is filed under the name uncultured bacterium. Its description in RNAcentral is "partial 16S ribosomal RNA". It matches the Rfam family "Bacterial small subunit ribosomal RNA", at positions 28 to 507 of the family's 1533-position model. The record is from RNAcentral.
GAUGAACGCUGGCGGCGUGCUUAACACAUGCAAGUCGAACGAUGAAGCCCAGCUUGCUGGGUGGAUUAGUGGCGAACGGGCGAGUAACACGUGAGUAACCUGCCCUUAACUCUGGGAUAAGCCUGGGAAACUGGGUCUAAUACCGGAUAGGAGCGCCUACCGCAUGGUGGGGGUUGGAAAGAUUUAUCGGUUUUGGAUGGACUCGCGGCCUAUCAGCUUGUUGGUGAGGUAAUGGCUCACCAAGGCGACGACGGGUAGCCGGCCUGAGAGGGUGACCGGCCACACUGGGACUGAGACACGGCCCAGACUCCUACGGGAGGCAGCAGUGGGGAAUAUUGCACAAUGGGCGAAAGCCUGAUGCAGCGACGCCGCGUGAGGGAUGACGGCCUUCGGGUUGUAAACCUCUUUCAGUAGGGAAGAAGCGAAAGUGACGGUACCUGCAGAAGAAGCACCGGCUAACUACGUG